GAACCUGAUGCAUCGAUGCCGCGUGAGUGAAGAAGGCUUUGGGUUGUAAAGCUCUUUUGUAGGGGAAGAUAAUGACUGUACCCUAAGAAUAAGGUCCGGCUAACUUCGUGCCAGCAGCCGCGGUAAUACGAAGGGACCUAGCGUAGUUCGGAAUUACUGGGCGUAAAGCGCGCGUAGGCCGUUGAGUUAGUUAAUUGUGAAAUCCCAAAGCUUAACUUUGGAACUGCAAUUAAAACUGCUCGACUAGAGUUUGAUAGAGGAAAGCGGAAUACAUAGUGUAGAGGUGAAAUUCGUAGAUAUUAUGUAGAACACCAGUUGCGAAGGCGGCUUUCUGGAUCAACACUGACGCUGAGGCGCGAAAGUAUGGGUAGCAAAGAGGAUUAGAUACCCUCGUAGUCCAUACCAUAAACGAUGAUUGCUAGAUGUUGGAAAUUUAUUUUCAGUAUCGCAGCUAACGCAUUAAGCAAUCCGCCUGGGGAGUACGAACGCAAGGUUAAAACUCAAAUGAAUUGACGGGGACCCGCACAAGCGGUGGAGCAUGUGGUUUAAUUCGAAGAUACGCGCAGAACCUUUACAACCCUUGACUUGUCUGUCGCGAGUUUAG
Molecule: ribosomal RNA, 604 nt
Filed under: uncultured bacterium
Lineage: Bacteria
Description: bacterial SSU rRNA
Rfam family: Bacterial small subunit ribosomal RNA
Source: RNAcentral